This 585-nucleotide ribosomal RNA is filed under the name Fazia micrura. Its description in RNAcentral is "eukaryotic LSU rRNA". The record is from RNAcentral. Lineage: Eukaryota; Metazoa; Arthropoda; Insecta; Diptera; Syrphidae.
AGUACGUGAAACUGCUUAGAGGUUAAGCCCGAUGAACCUGAAUAUCCAUUAUGGAAAAUUCAAUAUUAAGAAUAUAAUAUAAAUAAUAUUAUAAAAAUAGUAUGCAAUUUUUCCAUAUAAGGACAUUGUAAUCUGUUAAUGUUAUAAAUAUUUAUCAAAAGAUCUAAUACUUAAGUUUAUUUAAAUUGUUUAUUUUCGGAUAUUCAACAUAAAAUAAAUGUGUUAGAUUGGAUAAAUCAUUGACAGAUCGAAUUAUAUAUUGUGCAUAAAUUCUUCGGAAUUUUUCAGUAGUAGAUAGAUCUAUUGAUUUAUUUAUUGAUUGCCUGCAUAAUUAUGAUUGACAAUGCGAUAGAUUCAGGAUACCUUCGGGACCCGUCUUGAAACACGGACCAAGGAGUCUAACAUAUGUGCAAGUCAUUGGGUAUUUUUAAUAAAACCCAAUGGCAUAAUUAACUUAACUGUUAUUUAUAAUGAGAUUAAUUUAUAUUUUGUUAUGAUUUAUUUAUUCAAUCUCGGGGCGUUCUAUACAGUUAUGCAUAAUAAUAUUUAUAUUAUUUAUGCCUCUAACUAGAGCGUACCUUGAGC